GGACUCUUGAUUUUACAAAUUCAUUCGGAUCCCAAAAAAGUUCAUAAAUGGAAAUGGCAUUAAUUAGAGUUGUCACCUCCUUUGAACAAAAUUACCUGAUAUCCUUAAAAUAAAUACCAGAUGUUACUGGACAUUAAAUACACUUUGAUUCAAAAUUAUAAUAUUGACACAGAAGAUAAUUUGACAUUGUUUACAGAACAAUUUAUACUUAAUUCUAUUUAUAAAAUCAAUAGAAAAACAGCAGUUACUAAUGCACCAACAGGCAUAUAAAGCAAAGCAACUGAGAGGAAAUGGGAAAUGUAAAAUGAGAGGAACCAAGUCAUUGAGAACAAACACAAGGCACAACAGUCUUCAUCAAUGCAAGUGUUGCCAAAAUCUUUUAAUUAAUAACAGGUUGAUAAACUGCUACAAUUGCAUACAUUGCAAAACCCAGCCAAAGUUGUACAGUCAAUAGGGGGGGAUUGAGAUAUGCAAAAUAUCUGUAAUGAACUAGGGGUCAACUCCCUCAGGAACUGUCAAAAGUUAAUGAGAUACAUACAUGGCUAGGUAGCAUAGUAGCAGAACACAGGAACAAGAUGUCUCACUGCAUAUUAUAGCAAAGCAAAGUACAGUGUGAAACCUUUGGUCAAACUAUGCACUGUAAAACUGUCAGCCUCUAUAUCUCAUUAACCUUUGGUCUUUGACCCCUAGUUCAUUAGGGAUAUUCUGCAUGUCUCAACCAUCUCUAUUGAUCAGUACCACUAUUGCUGGGUUUUGCAAUGUAUGCAACUGUACUGACAAACCUAUAUUUUC
Molecule: long non-coding RNA, 792 nt
Filed under: Androctonus crassicauda
Lineage: Eukaryota; Metazoa; Arthropoda; Arachnida; Scorpiones; Buthidae
Source: RNAcentral